GGGGGUGUAGCUCAGUUGGGAGAGCGCCUGCCUUGCAAGCAGGAGGCCAGGAGUUCGAAUCUCCUCAUCUCCACCA
RNAcentral lists this transfer RNA (76 nucleotides) under Miniphocaeibacter halophilus. Its description in RNAcentral is "tRNA-Ala". It matches the Rfam family "tRNA". Rfam says of the family: Transfer RNA (tRNA) molecules are approximately 80 nucleotides in length. Their secondary structure includes four short double-helical elements and three loops (D, anti-codon, and T loops). The record is from RNAcentral. Lineage: Bacteria; Bacillati; Bacillota; Tissierellia; Tissierellales; Peptoniphilaceae.